RNAcentral lists this ribosomal RNA (3595 nucleotides) under Triticum aestivum (bread wheat). RNAcentral's name for it is "partial small subunit ribosomal RNA". The record is from RNAcentral. Lineage: Eukaryota; Viridiplantae; Streptophyta; Magnoliopsida; Poales; Poaceae.
GUGGCGUGGUGCUGGAAACGGGUGGCGUGCGUGCGUGCUUGGGGGUGUGCUGCUGGAAAGGGUGUGGGGCGUGGAGGAGGAGGGUUGCUGGUCUCGUACCAGCCCGGAAGCGGCGGCCGGCGGCGGGCGGGUAGGUGCCAGUUCGGAGGCGGCGGCGAGGUGCCGGUUCGGAGGCGGCGGCAAACGUCGGCGGUACCUUACGGACCUACAGCAGUUCUACGUGCGUCCACGUCGUGGACGUUGCCUUGCCUUCUGGUGGCUACGAGACGAGAACUCUGUUGUCUACGUGCGUCUCCGAUCUAUGUAUGUAUCGUUAGCAGUCCGAGGUCAAAACAUGACUGGUGAGGUUCCGAACAAGUUGGACCACUUAGAAAGGAAGUAGACGUAGCAAAAAGCGAAGUCAGACAUGUAGGAGCGGGAGGCGGGUGGCUAGGAUAAGAGGCGGCGGGCGGAAGGAGACGAGGAGGAGACGGCGGUUGCUAGAGUAGACUCGGUCAUGUCUUAUAACGGUGAGUAGUUGUAGACGUUGUAGAUUCACUUCACUAAUACACCUAGAACACUCCUUUUGUCUAUCCGGUUAUUCGGACCCUCCAACAGAUGUCAGUGACCGGACCGGAACUACGUAAGGUCAGUCUCUUCCACUACCUCUGGGAAUCUGUCGAACGUCUUCUACCCGUGUGCCAGUAUACGAGAUAUGUGGUCGGCUCUCCGAGUCAGAUAUCGUUUACACUACUGUAACACGAUGAGAGUCUCCCUCUUCAACAUAUAUACCCCGGCCGUUUUCUUCUUGGAGAUUUUAUGAAACGCAGUAAUCCCAUGGUUACGGGUCCAGUACUCUUGGGGCGACUCAAGAACCGACUAGAGUAAAGGUGACUAAUAUCGAGUCGACUUUCACAUGUCAGUAGUGUAUUUUCCUAACUCUUGGAUUAACUACUAAAACGUUUAUUCCAAGAUUAAUGACUUAAAUUGUCAGGUCAUUGUGUCAGCCUCCCGAGACUUAAAAGAUGGUUUGGACGAGUCUUCAGGUGAUCGUUCGUUUCUGCACCAACCACCUCUGUUAAAGCAAACUAUAAGUUCUCUCGUACCUACGUACAAAAAGUGCCUCGGAACAGACUAUCACAGAAGGUCGAAAAAAGGAUGAAGACGGAACUUUAAGCAACUAUCCAAUAAAACCGCACACACAAAUCGAAUUUUAUUUGGCCUGGAUAUGACAUCGUUUAAGUCCCCUAGAUAGAAAAGUUAUAAAUGACAUUCAACUGUGAACCACCGUACAACACGAAAGUGGUUGAGACACCGACUACAUCGACGUUGUACAUUGAUGACGUACUUUACACGAAAAACACUACCUGGUUGUUUGUUUCACUCUCGUUCUUACAUACAAUGAAGUUGUUAAUAUAAACCUAGUCACAAGACCGCUUACCCCUUUUGAGUUUGAAGGUAUGUUCUAUCCUACCCUGAAGAAGUCCACCGACGGUAUUUGUGUCGUUACCGACGAGACUGUUUCUGCCACCCCCAAAAGGGCUUUCUUGCUCGAUAUCAACUGUCCUUGCACGUUUCCCAAGGAUACGUGAUCCUGGUAUAGAGAGAAGAUUCUACGACCGGCUCUAAGGCUAACCUCGUCGUAAAGGUAACUAUAAACCUAGGUAAGAGAUAGGUUACCGAUUUGAAGUAGGAUGUCAAAGAUCCAGUCAUAAUAGGAGUGUAGUUUCAACUUUCACAACGCGCUGUGGUAUCAGGUACGGUGUACCAUCUUAAACCGUAACCAAAUCGAAUACGUAUAAGGAUUGUUUAUAAAGUACGCGGCAUAAGAAUUGUUUAUAAAGUACGUAUCACAACUCGUCCACUUAAAGAUGAAAUACAAAGAUUAAGAGAAAAAAAAUUACAAAGGUAAUGAAAAAUAACUUUAGACGAGUUACCCUACUCUUCACCUGGAAACUGACCUUGAUAAAAAAUGAUAACAAAGAGGUUAAAAGGUAAGUCGGUAAGAACCUUCUUACGUUGACGUCGAAUUAACCUCAACUUGACCUCCAUUGUAAACCUUAAUGAACCUUCAACCUUGUGUUCACCUCACACAAUACUGCUAACGAGUUUCCUUGAAACCAGUAUAACGAACUGUUGUACAGUUAGUGAGAAGACGUUGAGUCUAUUUUUGUUAAACUUAAUUUUUUUACGUUUUAGCUCAAACUCAACUAUCCCAUAUAUAUUAUAGACUUUUGUUUAUCUUUUGUACGGUCACAAGGCUCUUACGUUGUAGGGUCAGGUGCUGUUCUUUUUUACUAGUCGAUUUAAAGAACUGAGUAUUGUUCUCAGUCACCGAACGUAAGAGGGUUUACGAAACAUAGUAAACAACUUUAAGAUCUGAGGAAAAUAAGGUAUAACAACUAUAGAUACGUUGAUCUCGUCGAUUUAAUAAUUCACAAAAAAUCAUGUGGACUAGUUUUUGUCAACAACUGGAAAACGCUCACGUGGAAACGUUUAUGACCAUCUUUCAACACGUAGACACGGACGGUUCGACAUUGUCCGUCACAAGUGUCCGACUAUAUAAAAAACUAAGCCACUAAACUAACUAGUGUUGGGCUGGUCGUGUUACAUAGAAGAUACCGAACGUGAAAUACAGGUGUAAAUGAUAUCACUACCUGAUAGAUUCCGAGUCGUUUUAAAGAUGUUCUUAUGUUGAAAGCGACUUUCGGAUAAGAAUAUAAACAAAGAUAAGAGUUGUAAGUAAAAAUAAACACAGGAGUGACGCAAGAAGGAAAGAUCCUUAGUCCAGAUAUAAAAAAAAAUGGUAAGUUCCGUAUACACGUGUGUCUUCGGCAAAACGUACAUAGACUUAGAAGGACAGACCAUGAACACGACCCUUCGUUUUACACUUUUGUUUUUGGUUAUGUAGGUCUAACACGUAAUAAAACCACACAAAAGUCAAAGGUAUCGAAAAGUAUACUUACACUUAUAUGUACGGUAUAAAAGAUAACGUUCCACGGUCUCCUGUACAACGUCUCUCAUAAUGGUUAAUGUUAAGUUUGAAUGACCUCUGUCAAUGGUGAACGUUAAGUGUAAUAAUACAUAAACCAAACGAGUGAGAAAUAGGGGAGCAUGAACAACUACCAUAACGAGUAUGAUAUGAAAACCGGUUGUAACGUGCGUACUAAAGAUCGUUUCUUGUACACAAUAAGAACAAAUUUAUCCCUUGUACACUGUAAGAAAUAAAAAUAAACUUACCCUUGUAAAAAGACAAUUCUUGUAAAACAUUCCGGUAGUUUCUACGUGCAGUUUCCUCAUUCCGGUACGGGAAAACCGGCAGGUUACCUUUCGUUGUUUCACUUUGGUAAGAUACAGGAUUAAAAAAGAACGAAAUUUAUGAGAAUCGAAAUCGAUAUAGUCAGUUAUGCACGUGACUUGCUAUACUAAUGAUACUAAAAAAAAAACUCUUAAAUGAUACUCAGAUAAUACUUACCGUAACUCACAGUAACAGCAUAGGAAAAUGACUAAAAAGAAAUACCAUUAUUACUAUUUUUUCUUCGUAUAACACCACAUACUUUAUAAUAGCAUGAUGUUCUAUUAAAAUAUAAAAAUAUGGUAAAGGAGAAAUCAUAUG